CCUACGGGUGGCAGCAGUGGGGAAUAUUGGACAAUGGGCGAAAGCCUGAUCCAGCCAUGCCGCGUGUGUGAAGAAGGCCUUCGGGUUGUAAAGCACUUUCAGUGGGGAAGAAAGCCUUGGGGCUAAUACCCUCGAGGAAGGACAUCACCCACAGAAGAAGCACCGGCUAACUCCGUGCCAGCAGCCGCGGUAAUACGGAGGGUGCGAGCGUUAAUCGGAAUUACUGGGCGUAAAGCGCGCGUAGGCGGUCUGAUAAGCCGGUUGUGAAAGCCCCGGGCUCAACCUGGGAACGGCAUCCGGAACUGUCAGGCUAGAGUGCAGGAGAGGAAGGUAGAAUUCCCGGUGUAGCGAUGAAAUGCGUAGAGAUCGGGAGGAAUACCAGUGGCGAAGGCGGCCUUCUGGACUGACACUGACGCUGAGGUGCGAAAGCGUGGGUAGCAAACAGGAUUAGAUACCCGGGUAGUC
This 465-nucleotide ribosomal RNA is filed under the name Vreelandella stevensii. RNAcentral describes it as "partial 16S ribosomal RNA". It matches the Rfam family "Bacterial small subunit ribosomal RNA", at positions 338 to 795 of the family's 1533-position model. The record is from RNAcentral. Lineage: Bacteria; Pseudomonadati; Pseudomonadota; Gammaproteobacteria; Oceanospirillales; Halomonadaceae.